GUUAAGCGACUAAGCGUACACGGUGGAUGCCCUGGCAGUCAGAGGCGAUGAAGGACGUGCUAAUCUGCGAUAAGCGUCGGUAAGGUGAUAUGAACCGUUAUAACCGGCGAUUUCCGAAUGGGGAAACCCAGUGUGUUUCGACACACUAUCAUUAACUGAAUCCAUAGGUUAAUGAGGCGAACCGGGGGAACUGAAACAUCUAAGUACCCCGAGGAAAAGAAAUCAACCGAGAUUCCCCCAGUAGCGGCGAGCGAACGGGGAGCAGCCCAGAGCCUGAAUCAGUGUGUGUGUUAGUGGAAGCGUCUGGAAAGGCGCGCGAUACAGGGUGACAGCCCCGUACACAAAAAUGCACAUGCUGUGAGCUCGAUGAGUAGGGCGGGACACGUGGUAUCCUGUCUGAAUAUGGGGGGACCAUCCUCCAAGGCUAAAUACUCCUGACUGACCGAUAGUGAACCAGUACCGUGAGGGAAAGGCGAAAAGAACCCCGGCGAGGGGAGUGAAAAAGAACCUGAAACCGUGUACGUACAAGCAGUGGGAGCACGCUUAGGCGUGUGACUGCGUACCUUUUGUAUAAUGGGUCAGCGACUUAUAUUCUGUAGCAAGGUUAACCGAAUAGGGGAGCCGAAGGGAAACCGAGUCUUAACUGGGCGUUAAGUUGCAGGGUAUAGACCCGAAACCCGGUGAUCUAGCCAUGGGCAGGUUGAAGGUUGGGUAACACUAACUGGAGGACCGAACCGACUAAUGUUGAAAAAUUAGCGGAUGACUUGUGGCUGGGGGUGAAAGGCCAAUCAAACCGGGAGAUAGCUGGUUCUCCCCGAAAGCUAUUUAGGUAGCGCCUCGUGAAUUCAUCUCCGGGGGUAGAGCACUGUUUCGGCAAGGGGGUCAUCCCGACUUACCAACCCGAUGCAAACUGCGAAUACCGGAGAAUGUUAUCACGGGAGACACACGGCGGGUGCUAACGUCCGUCGUGAAGAGGGAAACAACCCAGACCGCCAGCUAAGGUCCCAAAGUCAUGGUUAAGUGGGAAACGAUGUGGGAAGGCCCAGACAGCCAGGAUGUUGGCUUAGAAGCAGCCAUCAUUUAAAGAAAGCGUAAUAGCUCACUGGUCGAGUCGGCCUGCGCGGAAGAUGUAACGGGGCUAAACCAUGCACCGAAGCUGCGGCAGCGACGCUGAUGCGUUGUUGGGUAGGGGAGCGUUCUGUAAGCCUGCGAAGGUGUGCUGUGAGGCAUGCUGGAGGUAUCAGAAGUGCGAAUGCUGACAUAAGUAACGAUAAAGCGGGUGAAAAGCCCGCUCGCCGGAAGACCAAGGGUUCCUGUCCAACGUUAAUCGGGGCAGGGUGAGUCGACCCCUAAGGCGAGGCCGAAAGGCGUAGUCGAUGGGAAACAGGUUAAUAUUCCUGUACUUGGUGUUACUGCGAAGGGGGGACGGAGAAGGCUAUGUUGGCCGGGCGACGGUUGUCCCGGUUUAAGCGUGUAGGCUGGUUUUCCAGGCAAAUCCGGAAAAUCAAGGCUGAGGCGUGAUGACGAGGCACUACGGUGCUGAAGCAACAAAUGCCCUGCUUCCAGGAAAAGCCUCUAAGCAUCAGGUAACAUCAAAUCGUACCCCAAACCGACACAGGUGGUCAGGUAGAGAAUACCAAGGCGCUUGAGAGAACUCGGGUGAAGGAACUAGGCAAAAUGGUGCCGUAACUUCGGGAGAAGGCACGCUGAUAUGUAGGUGAAGUCCCUUGCGGAUGGAGCUGAAAUCAGUCGAAGAUACCAGCUGGCUGCAACUGUUUAUUAAAAACACAGCACUGUGCAAACACGAAAGUGGACGUAUACGGUGUGACGCCUGCCCGGUGCCGGAAGGUUAAUUGAUGGGGUCAGCGCAAGCGAAGCUCUUGAUCGAAGCCCCGGUAAACGGCGGCCGUAACUAUAACGGUCCUAAGGUAGCGAAAUUCCUUGUCGGGUAAGUUCCGACCUGCACGAAUGGCGUAAUGAUGGCCAGGCUGUCUCCACCCGAGACUCAGUGAAAUUGAACUCGCUGUGAAGAUGCAGUGUACCCGCGGCAAGACGGAAAGACCCCGUGAACCUUUACUAUAGCUUGACACUGAACAUUGAGCCUUGAUGUGUAGGAUAGGUGGGAGGCUUUGAAGUGUGGACGCCAGUCUGCAUGGAGCCGACCUUGAAAUACCACCCUUUAAUGUUUGAUGUUCUAACGUUGACCCGUAAUCCGGGUUGCGGACAGUGUCUGGUGGGUAGUUUGACUGGGGCGGUCUCCUCCUAAAGAGUAACGGAGGAGCACGAAGGUUGGCUAAUCCUGGUCGGACAUCAGGAGGUUAGUGCAAUGGCAUAAGCCAGCUUGACUGCGAGCGUGACGGCGCGAGCAGGUGCGAAAGCAGGUCAUAGUGAUCCGGUGGUUCUGAAUGGAAGGGCCAUCGCUCAACGGAUAAAAGGUACUCCGGGGAUAACAGGCUGAUACCGCCCAAGAGUUCAUAUCGACGGCGGUGUUUGGCACCUCGAUGUCGGCUCAUCACAUCCUGGGGCUGAAGUAGGUCCCAAGGGUAUGGCUGUUCGCCAUUUAAAGUGGUACGCGAGCUGGGUUUAGAACGUCGUGAGACAGUUCGGUCCCUAUCUGCCGUGGGCGCUGGAGAACUGAGGGGGGCUGCUCCUAGUACGAGAGGACCGGAGUGGACGCAUCACUGGUGUUCGGGUUGUCAUGCCAAUGGCACUGCCCGGUAGCUAAAUGCGGAAGAGAUAAGUGCUGAAAGCAUCUAAGCACGAAACUUGCCCCGAGAUGAGUUCUCCCUGACCCUUUAAGGGGCCUGAAGGAACGUUGAAGACGACGACGUUGAUAGGCCGGGUGUGUAAGCGCAGCGAUGCGUUGAGCUAACCGGUACUAAUGAACCGUGAGGCUUAACCU
Molecule: ribosomal RNA, 2902 nt
Filed under: Escherichia coli
Lineage: Bacteria; Pseudomonadati; Pseudomonadota; Gammaproteobacteria; Enterobacterales; Enterobacteriaceae
Description: bacterial LSU rRNA
Rfam family: Bacterial large subunit ribosomal RNA
Source: RNAcentral